CCUACGGGUGGCUGCAGUCGAGAAUCUUCGGCAAUGGGCGCAAGCCUGACCGAGCGACGCCGCGUGCGAGAUGAAGGCCUUCGGGUUGUAAAUCGCUGUCAGAGGGGAGGAAAUGCCGGUGGGUUCUCCCAUCGGUUUGACCUAUCCUCAGAGGAAGGACGGGCUAAGUUCGUGCCAGCAGCCGCGGUAAGACGAACCGUCCAAACGUUAUUCGGAAUAACUGGGCUUGAAGGGUGCGUAGGUUGGGCGUGAAAGCCCUCAGCUCAACUGAGGAAUUGCGCCCAAAACUGCCGGACUUGAGGGAGACAUAGGUGAGCGGAACUUAGGGUGGAGCGGUGAAAUGCGUUGAGAUCCUAAGGAACACCAGUAGCGAAAGCGGCUCACUGGGUCUCUUCUGACGCUGAUGCACGAAAGCUAGGGGAGCGAAGAGGAUUAGAUACCCGAGUAGUC
This 450-nucleotide ribosomal RNA is filed under the name uncultured bacterium. RNAcentral describes it as "partial 16S ribosomal RNA". It matches the Rfam family "Bacterial small subunit ribosomal RNA", at positions 338 to 795 of the family's 1533-position model. The record is from RNAcentral.